CUCUUCUUCUCUAAUCGCUGUAGCCAUGGUGGAAUGAAUUGAGCUGGCUUUGGAAUUAGGAAACCCUGGGUUCAAGUCUUGCCUGUGACACUUACUUGCUGUGAUCCAUCCUGCAGCCCUCAGGAACAUUUCCAGGCAGUGAGCUUUCCCAUGGAGCCGUGACAGUGCUGCAGUUUUCUGUUACAGCCCCAAUGUAGGCGAUGGUGUCAUGCAUGGAGCCGUUGGGUUCUUUGUCAGGCACACAAUGAAACUGGGAUUCAAAUGCAGUCUUCAGAGAGGCAGCACUGAGGAAGUUGAGUUUUCUUUGUUACUUUUCAAUCAAGGGAACUGGCCAACAGCAGGGGGCAGUGGCUCUAUGGGGCUGAAGAAGCAUUUCCAGGGCUGCACCACCACCUGGUGGCCAAAUGUAGAAGUUCAGAAAUUACACUCAUCCGUUUUGCUCUCAUUUUAUCAAAGACCAGUGGCAAGACAGAAGCCAAGACAACUGUCUCUGGCCCAGGACGCAGUGGAUGACCUUGGUGUCUUUGAUGCCUGACAAAGCUCUAAGUGCUCCGCAGCGCCUCUUGGCCGUUGGAACAAACUCUUCUCAUCUGCCCAUUCUGCUGGGGGACGUCCUCAUGUGCUUGGGGCAGACAUCCCCUUAACUCACCAAGGGAUUUGAGGCCUGAGGGUUGCCAUUAACCUGUUUUAGCCUGUCUACACAGACAGUUUUCCCGGGGUGUGGCCGCUGUGCAUGCUACAUCUUGGAGCCACAGGGGAGAGCUGGUGGCAGGAGGACGCCAGAGGCGGGUGAGGGGCUCUGAAAAGGGCUCAGCAGCCCUCACACCAGAAGUGCUAGUCCUCCCCGAACACCCCACAUGCCCCUGCAUAUAAUUAAUGAGAGUCUGAAGGGUCCUCUGGCUUCUCCAGUCUCCUCCAGUCCAAAUGAAAAUCAGAUUUGAUCCUGAACUCCCUCCUGCCUCCCGAAUUGCUUGCUAUGGAAUCAGGCCACUUAGCCAAUCAAGUUCUGAUAACCAGACAGCAGUGCCAAAAACGUGAAUGUGGUUGCUCCUGCUCUUACUUACAUUCAGUUAUGUCCUGAUUCCCGCAGACAGCUUGGCCUAAUGAUGGACCUGGCUUCUUUGCCAUUUACUGUAGGGGCUGAGCUAAUGUUCUCA
Long non-coding RNA from Vombatus ursinus (common wombat), 1157 nucleotides. RefSeq lists it as uncharacterized. Lineage: Eukaryota; Metazoa; Chordata; Mammalia; Diprotodontia; Vombatidae. The transcript has 3 exons. The record is from RefSeq and is a predicted model, not a curated record.